Molecule: ribosomal RNA, 1528 nt
Filed under: Klebsiella pneumoniae
Lineage: Bacteria; Pseudomonadati; Pseudomonadota; Gammaproteobacteria; Enterobacterales; Enterobacteriaceae
Description: bacterial SSU rRNA
Rfam family: Bacterial small subunit ribosomal RNA
Source: RNAcentral
AGAGUUUGAUCAUGGCUCAGAUUGAACGCUGGCGGCAGGCCUAACACAUGCAAGUCGAGCGGUAGCACAGAGAGCUUGCUCUCGGGUGACGAGCGGCGGACGGGUGAGUAAUGUCUGGGAAACUGCCUGAUGGAGGGGGAUAACUACUGGAAACGGUAGCUAAUACCGCAUAAUGUCGCAAGACCAAAGUGGGGGACCUUCGGGCCUCAUGCCAUCAGAUGUGCCCAGAUGGGAUUAGCUAGUAGGUGGGGUAACGGCUCACCUAGGCGACGAUCCCUAGCUGGUCUGAGAGGAUGACCAGCCACACUGGAACUGAGACACGGUCCAGACUCCUACGGGAGGCAGCAGUGGGGAAUAUUGCACAAUGGGCGCAAGCCUGAUGCAGCCAUGCCGCGUGUGUGAAGAAGGCCUUCGGGUUGUAAAGCACUUUCAGCGGGGAGGAAGGCGUUGAGGUUAAUAACCUUGGCGAUUGACGUUACCCGCAGAAGAAGCACCGGCUAACUCCGUGCCAGCAGCCGCGGUAAUACGGAGGGUGCAAGCGUUAAUCGGAAUUACUGGGCGUAAAGCGCACGCAGGCGGUCUGUCAAGUCGGAUGUGAAAUCCCCGGGCUCAACCUGGGAACUGCAUUCGAAACUGGCAGGCUAGAGUCUUGUAGAGGGGGGUAGAAUUCCAGGUGUAGCGGUGAAAUGCGUAGAGAUCUGGAGGAAUACCGGUGGCGAAGGCGGCCCCCUGGACAAAGACUGACGCUCAGGUGCGAAAGCGUGGGGAGCAAACAGGAUUAGAUACCCUGGUAGUCCACGCCGUAAACGAUGUCGAUUUGGAGGUUGUGCCCUUGAGGCGUGGCUUCCGGAGCUAACGCGUUAAAUCGACCGCCUGGGGAGUACGGCCGCAAGGUUAAAACUCAAAUGAAUUGACGGGGGCCCGCACAAGCGGUGGAGCAUGUGGUUUAAUUCGAUGCAACGCGAAGAACCUUACCUGGUCUUGACAUCCACAGAACUUUCCAGAGAUGGAUUGGUGCCUUCGGGAACUGUGAGACAGGUGCUGCAUGGCUGUCGUCAGCUCGUGUUGUGAAAUGUUGGGUUAAGUCCCGCAACGAGCGCAACCCUUAUCCUUUGUUGCCAGCGGUUCGGCCGGGAACUCAAAGGAGACUGCCAGUGAUAAACUGGAGGAAGGUGGGGAUGACGUCAAGUCAUCAUGGCCCUUACGACCAGGGCUACACACGUGCUACAAUGGCAUAUACAAAGAGAAGCGACCUCGCGAGAGCAAGCGGACCUCAUAAAGUAUGUCGUAGUCCGGAUUGGAGUCUGCAACUCGACUCCAUGAAGUCGGAAUCGCUAGUAAUCGUAGAUCAGAAUGCUACGGUGAAUACGUUCCCGGGCCUUGUACACACCGCCCGUCACACCAUGGGAGUGGGUUGCAAAAGAAGUAGGUAGCUUAACCUUCGGGAGGGCGCUUACCACUUUGUGAUUCAUGACUGGGGUGAAGUCGUAACAAGGUAACCGUAGGGGAACCUGCGGUUGGAUCACCU